This 253-nucleotide ribosomal RNA is filed under the name uncultured bacterium. RNAcentral's name for it is "partial 16S ribosomal RNA". It matches the Rfam family "Bacterial small subunit ribosomal RNA", at positions 524 to 776 of the family's 1533-position model. The record is from RNAcentral.
UACCGAGGUCCCAAGCGUUACUGAGAAUCACUGGGUUUAAAGGGUGCGUAGGUGGUCCGUUAAGUUCGUUGUGAAAUCCCCGAGCUCAACUCGGGAACUGCUUCGGAUACUGGCGGACUUGAGGCCAAUAGAGGUCACUGGAACUGACGGUGGAGCGGUGAAAUGCGUAGAUAUCGUCAGGAACGCCGGUGGUGAAGACGGGUGACUGGGCUGGUUCUGACACUGAGGCACGAAAGCGUGGGGAGCGAACGGG